Molecule: transfer RNA, 70 nt
Filed under: Dallia pectoralis (Alaska blackfish)
Lineage: Eukaryota; Metazoa; Chordata; Actinopteri; Esociformes; Umbridae
Description: tRNA-OTHER
Source: RNAcentral
GUUGGUAGCUCAGUGGUAGAGUGCAUGCUUUGUGUGUAUCACGUCCUGGGUUUAAAUUCCAGCUCCAGUA